This 646-nucleotide long non-coding RNA is filed under the name Bos taurus (domestic cattle). RNAcentral describes it as "long non-coding RNA NONBTAT011680". Lineage: Eukaryota; Metazoa; Chordata; Mammalia; Artiodactyla; Bovidae. The record is from RNAcentral.
UUUGGGGCAGAUAUCAUUACCUAGAGAAAACUGAAACAAGAAAUCCUUAAAAAAUGGGGGUAAAGAUACACAGGAAAAGCUACGAAUUCUAUGAUAACAACAGGAAUAGUAAGGAAUGAUUUAAAAAAAAGAAAAGCAGAGUAUUUAUCUCUGAGUGGAGCUGAAUUUUCAUCAUUUCAAGAACAGAGGUUUUUUUGUUUUUGAAUCUUAGAGUGAUAACCCUGCCUAUCUACUACAAUAAAACAAGAACCACUAUUAUAUAGACUAAAGGUGAUCCUGGCACAUUUCCAUCAAUUAUAAGGACUACUACACAACAGUUCAAUUAUCUCCCCGAAAAUUUCAGAAUAUCUAUAGCACUGAACCACAUACGCAAAUAUUUAUCUAUAGCUCUACACCUCUAAAACAAACACGACUCCUCCUUUCUAACAAGGCACAUAUAACCUAAAGAAAAGCAGAGUAUUUUUUCAUUACUCAGAUCUUAGUAUACUAACUCUGUGCCUCCAAUUCUGAUUCGCAUUACCCAAUUUUAGCAUGUGUCACUCUGUAUUAUUAGUUUCUAAGGUUGCCUAAAACACUUGCUGUUGAGUUAGAUAUAUAAUCCACUUGAGCAAUGAAUUUUCUUCUACACUCAGUUAACAACCAUAUC